UACGAGGACGAACGCUGGCGGCGUGCCUAAUACAUGCAAGUCGAACGGUCUUUCUAUGGAAGCUUGCUUCCACUGAGAAGAUAGUGGCGAACGGGUGAGUAACACGUGGGUAACCUGCCCAUAAGAGGGGGAUAACAUCCGGAAACGGGUGCUAAUACCGCAUAGUUUUCUUGAUCGCAUGAUUGGGAAAGGAAAGACGGCCUUUGUGCUGUCGCUUAUGGAUGGACCCGCGGCGUAUUAGUUAGUUGGUGAGGUAACGGCUCACCAAGACGAUGAUACGUAGCCGACCUGAGAGGGUGAUCGGCCACAUUGGGACUGAGACACGGCCCAAACUCCUACGGGAGGCAGCAGUAGGGAAUCUUCCGCAAUGGACGAAAGUCUGACGGAGCAACGCCGCGUGAGUGAAGAAAAGGGUUUUCGGAUCGUAAAACUCUGUUGUCAGAGAAGAACAAGUUGGAGAGUAACUGCUCCAGCCUUGACGGUAUCUGACCAGAAAGCCACGGCUAACUACGUGCCAGCAGCGGC
RNAcentral lists this ribosomal RNA (525 nucleotides) under uncultured bacterium. Its description in RNAcentral is "bacterial SSU rRNA". It matches the Rfam family "Bacterial small subunit ribosomal RNA", at positions 26 to 518 of the family's 1533-position model. The record is from RNAcentral.